Cyanistes caeruleus (blue tit) is the source of this 7817-nucleotide non-coding RNA. NCBI's taxonomy places the organism in Eukaryota, Metazoa, Chordata, Aves, Passeriformes, Paridae. The record is from RefSeq and is a predicted model, not a curated record.
UACAUUAUCGCAACUGCCAGAGCUCUUACUGCUGCAGUUUUCUAGUCGCAGUGCGGCAAAGCAGACGCAUAGAACCAGGCACAAAGCAGCAUAGAUUUUUUUUCAUUCUUAUCUUUUUCAUACGAGGGGAAUAUUCCUGGUGUUAGCGUAGGAACAGACACAGCAUGGAUGUGUUGGCUUCUGCCUGGCAGCAUUUUCAGCUGAGCAGGGACUGCUCGGAGCUCUGUACCCAAAUUGCCUCUGAGGAAGAACGCCUGAUUUCCCACUUUGCGUACUAAGAGGGCUUUUUUCUUUAUGCUACAGUGAUGUACCUGCAGCAAUAGGACAAAGGAGAUGGCACUUGUCACUGUCUGUCCGACUGGGGCCUUUUGCGGGUACUCCACUGCCGAAGCUGUGCCAGCAUCCCAGGGUCAGAUAGAUUGGUAAUACAGAUUGCUGCAAUUUCUUACAUCAGUUAGGGCAAAGCUCAAACAAGAAACCAGACUCUCUGACCUAAAUCAGUCCCAGUCCUUCUGGAUACAGGGCAGCAGUCGACUAGCAAUGACACAACCAGCCAUCAAGUGGAGAGUCUCUGGGAUUGCAAUCUGUAUCAGCUGGAGUCUGAGAGAAUGAAACCCUUUCGGGUAUCCAGUCGCUUCUUCUUCUAAUACUACAAAUACUACAACUACUACUACUGCUACUUCUGUUUUUCUUGCCUGUAAGAAGCUGUUAAUUGCGAUUGGUCUCAGCCUGUACAUUUGCGUGGAUUAGUCUGUCUAUAACGCAGUCCUUAUCCGCUCCUGCUGGAAACCGGGGCACGAAGUCAGCCUGCUUUAACAGUUGUUUCUUCCUGCGUGAUGCUAUGCAACUAGAAUGGGUUACACUGACAACAAAGGAACAAGCACAAAGCACCACUUUCUUUGCUGGACUGUUACAGGAACAUAGCUCUUCUUCGAUAUGACACCCUGGUCUCUUCUCUUUGCUGGCUUUUUUUGUAUUUUUUUAAAUUUAAUUCAUCUAAUCGAAGAGCCUAACAGACACCAUCGUGAAUGUGGCUUUUAAUCAUUUGGAAAAGACAGCAUGUGGAGACUGCGAUUCGAGACAGCAACACAUUUAGGUUAUUGCCAAUUUUAAAUACUUGGUUUGUGAAGCACAGCCCUAAGGGACAAGCUCAGUAACUGAGGGAGAGAUUGUAGAUAAAGAAAUAAAAAUGACAAGCGUAAUGGAGGCUCUGCAAAAGAGACUGUCAGAGAAUCAGUUCAUGGAUGGCAAUUUCACCAGUCUGAAUCUGAAUAAUUCAUAGAUUGAAAUUACCCUGCUUUCACCUUUCCAUUUAAACCGGCAUGAUCUGAAUCUCUAAUAAAUUUUCAAGAUAAAGUAAAAUGCCAAUUUGAAUCUGAAGAGCUUUUAAAACCAGAUGCUACACCCUGAAUCUUUCGAUACCUUUCACAAUUAUCCUGUGAGAACCGCACUUCAUCACGAAGCACCAUUACCAGUGAAAAUUACUGUGAUUACAAUAGCAACAAUAGAAUACCAUCAAAUGAUCUCUAAUCUACCUAAUUUACCAAGGCUGACUGUGUGCCCAUUGUGUUUCACUACGUCUGGCAUUGGAUCAAUAUCACAGUGGAACAAAAAUGCAUUAGUGUGUGCUUCCUUUUGGUACCUUUAACUUUGACAGCACAGGAAAAAAAAAUCUACCUGCUGUUAAAUGUUUUUACAGCCAAUCUACAUGCCUGCUGUAGGAUCUGAUUGAUUCUCUAUGAUUUUCUUUAGUUCCUGGGUAUCAGAUGUCUUUGUGUUACUAAUUAGUUUAUAAUGUAUACUCAUGCACAGAGACUGCAGCAAGUGAGUGCCAGCACAGGGACCCUGCACUGCUGCUGCAGUUGCAGCGCUCUCACUGGGGAAGCCAAAACGAGUUCGGUGCCUUAUGUGAAUAUUUACUUCUGUCUGAGUCAGAAAUGCUUUGUAGCAUCACCGGUUUUGGUCGUACUAUGUGAAAAAUGUAUGCAAAAGCCAUGGUCAGGAAAAAUGAUAGCGUGUUAUACUAACAAGAUUUUCUCCCUGUUCAGCAAUUAGCAUGUGGUUGUGAGAGACAGGCUGUGACUCCUUCUGUGUCUGUGUGUGUGUGUGUGUGUGUGUAGGUACGCAUGCACAUACAUAAAUGUAAAGCUACUGUGCCCUGUGAAUGACUAUGUGCUGAUGAUCUCUGAAAGUAACAACUUUCUCUGACAAGCCAGGCGCUGCGUUUUGCCGCAAUCUGCUCAGUUGUAACAAAUCCCUCUUUUGGAGGUGUAAAUUUCCUAUAGGAUGAUGCGUGACUUCUGGAACAGUAAGUACCGUUUAUGCAAUAUGUUGGUGCCUAUAGCUCUGCUGCAGAACAGUAUUUUAAGUGUAGUUUGAAUCCUUGUAGCAUAACCAGAAUGUGAAGAAGUGAGAAACAUGUACAGAAGGCUAGAAACAGGCAUUCUUCAUGGAGGCGACUGUAUCUGCUGUUUGUAUGUGUGUGAGUUGUACACUUCGGGCUUGUUUUUCAUUUUAUAAUCAGAUUUACUCUGCCUUCAGGGAAUAUUUUUUAAGGGAGGAAGGUAAGCAGUAUUUCUUCUUAUUUCUGUAACUGUGUUGUAUUUCUCUUGUGGGAAAUGCAUGUUUACAGCACGUAGUUAUAUAAUACAGCAUGAUCUCAUGACAUCUAGUUAAGUGUUUCAAUAUUUGUUCAUAUUAAAAUUGGGCAAGAAAGCAUGUUUAAAAUAUGGAUUUUUAUUGAAAAUACACUUCUAGAAAUUCUAUGAAAAAACAACUUACAGAUUUUGUUUGCAUUCAUUUUUGCUCUUUACUGCUGUUAAAUAAGUGCCUAUUCUAUCUUAAUACUAAUGGUCUUGAAACCUUCAGUUUUUAUAAGUUCUGUCUUUUCAAAAUGUAAUUUACUGUACUUCUAAAUUUUCUGUAUAUUAAUGGAGACUGUUCUCUAGAGGCAGAAGAAUCAAAAGGUUUUAUAUCUUGAUCUGUGAUAACAAAGGAACUUGAAAGGGCACAAAAUAUGAUUAUACAAAAUUCUUAGAUUUUAAAUGAUUCAGUAACGUGAUUUAGCAAAAUGCUGUUCUUAGACGACACACUCUCAAGUUACUACACUAUCUGGAAAUAAUCAGUCCACGCAGUGUUAUACUUCUAUUCUUAGUUUUCAUGUAGUAUUCAAAACUUAACAGAGAAAAAGCUGAGAGCAAAUACCAAAACUUUGGUAAAAGUUUACAUAUAUACAUUAUGUUAUUGUAGUAAUAAAAUCAAGACAUUUAUACUGAACUUUGCUGAAGAGAACUAGUUGUUGUGGUUUAACUAUUUUAUGAAGAACAUUUUAAGGUUUUAUGUACAAAAUAUAACAUAGGCUGAUAUAACACCUAUACUGAAAGGACCAUGAAAACAGAAAUAUGAAUGUUUUGCAAAAUACCGUACAAGUACCUGGCAAUAUUUACAGUAUCAUUAUUGUUAUUGCCACACUCCUCCAGUACCACAUACUGCAUUGAAAUCAUGGUCUGUUAACCAAUUGGAUUCCACAGAGUCUUUACAACCCUAAAUUUUUUAUCAGUCUUUUCUGUUGUGACAGCCUGUAGAAGGCAGCUGGCCAUGAGGUGUGAGCUGUCCUCACUAACAAGUGCAGGGCACAGCUAAGGGAGAAUUCACAAGCUGUUGGUGGCUUCACAUAAGGGCCCAAUCCAAACCCUUCUAUGGAACUGCUCUGGAGUCCUCUAACUUUAUGUUUCUGCUAUUAAACUUUAAACAUGCCUCUGGCUUUCUCCCACUGCUCCAUGUGGCCUUUCCACAACAUGCAGUGCUGGUCAGGCCUAAUGCUGUUUGCCAGUGUGAGCCCCUGCAGGAGUUGCCAGACUCUGUUAGGACAGCACACUCAGGAGGCGAGAGUAUUCAUGAUGCCCUGAAAAAAGUACUCUAGAAAAGUUUGGAAACCUUGGGAAAUGAACUCUGCCUUUUGGGGUGAUGUGUGUUUCAAAGGUGGCAGGAUUGCAGUCUGUCAGCAGGAUACACUGUGUGUGCGAAUGGGAAAAAAAAGCCUUUAAACCUCUUCAGACACAGGAUUGUGAAGAGAAUAUUAGCAAUAUUACCUCAUAGGAAGUAUUAAAAUGUAGUCAAGUCGUAUCAUCCAUGUAUUUUCUGAUGUGGCUAUGGCCAAUCAGGUAGCUACAGCUGCAGUGUUUAGAAUUUAUAAUUUUAUGUGUCAAAAAAAAUGGCAGACUGCAACAUGAAACUUCUAACGUACGGCCACUAAUUUCAGCAAUAGGGAUUCAACAGUUAACAUACAUCACAUCAAAAGAUGUAUUAGUCUGGUUUUUAUGCCUUUUUAUGUUCUUCACUGUUUUACACUUGUCUAUAAAUCAAUCUGUAAUGGCAAAGGGAGGACAAAACCCUUCUUUACAUGAGUUCCCAACAAGCACAGAUAUCCACUUCAGUGAAAUUACUCCCAUGCAUUUGGUGGACCCUUAUCUGCAGCCAGGCAGCAACCGUGAUGAAACCAUACACAUGAAAAAACAUAUUGGAGCCCAUUCUAUUACCACAGAAUUUAAUAUAUUUAAUAUAGCCAUCAAUAUAGAAGAUAGAUCCAUUAACUUGCUUCCAUUACAUACUUUUUGUGAAAGUUGCUGCUAUUUUGUUGUGUUUUUUUCUCCUUGAUUACAAGAGUCGUGUAUAGUUGACACAACACUGAACAGAAGAUUCUUUCUGUUCACCAGGACACAAGACCUGAGUAAACAUACACUGGAAUCUCAGGAUAGGUUUAUUUGACAACUGAAGGGACUGUCUCAUCUGUAUUUGAUAAUAUUUGUGCUUACUUGCUUGUCAAUUCUUCAUUAUCAUCUGCUAUAAAACACACAAGUUCUGAUCUGAAAUGGUUGUAUCUAUUUGGACAAGAGCCCUGAGGAUAGGAGGGUCUGUUGUGGGUUUCAUUGCUUUUUUUUUUCACUGUACUGCUGCUUUGAAUUAAUUGCAACUGCCUAUGGAAAUGUGAUCCCUUAAGAACGUAGAGAAAUACAUUAUUAAUGAUUAUGUAUGAAGAAUUGCUAGAUUCCCCUGUACUCUGGCUGCUAUGAAUUUCACACCAUGAUUCCCGAAGAAAAAUUAAAAACAAAGUAAGACCAAUGUAACUUGAAAUGAAAACAGCAGCAUUUCCAAACCAAAUUUUUGACACAGGAAAUUCAGAGUUAAACAGAAGAAAAUCCAAGUGGUUCACGGACACAAUUAAAAUACCUGAGCAGCUCCUUUCCUCUUUGAUGCCAUAACUCCAGGAUGUGAUAGAGGUAAAUAAUUUUGCCAAGUCAGUUUAUACUACAUAGAUAGGAUCAAAAGCCACCUUUGGCUUUAAAAGUAUUUGCACUGCAUUUCACAGUAUCGGUUCAGUUUCUUUAUGGGCUAUAAAUGUACACCUGCUCUGUGCUUUUAGCUGCGUAACAUAACCAGAAGUUCUGAAAAUCAAAUUAUUUCAGACCAACCAAAAGAGGGAAAUGAAAUCCUAAAUGGGAAGUGCAGAAGAGGCAAUGGGCUUCCCAGGUCUCAUGCCAGCAGAGCCUAUUGCUGUGGGUUUUCCAGGUCAGGUUAAACUUCUUAUGGUGUUAGGACUUGUUCUUAAAAAAAUCCCCAUAGUUAAAAAUGAGCGGGAAUUCAAAAUAUGGCCAAAGUUUUGCCCAAAACCAUAAGUGGUUUUUUUUUUUUUUUCCCUUCUAACUACAUUUGACAUUAUUUCUGCCACAGGCCUUGCCUCAAAGUUUACCAAGAAACUCUGUCCAAAAGAAUAUUUGCAAUGUUAUACUUCAUUUGUAGAAGGUCAUGCAUAGUGAAGCACACACAAUGAAUUAGCAGUUGUGGUAAAUGCUAAAGUGGGAAACAUUGUUUAAAUGGAAAAAAAAUAUGAAUUGAUGAAUUAUGGUGUUGCCACUGUGCUGUUCACUUAUACUCAAUAUUCACAGAGAUAGUGAAGAAAUGAAUGUACAUCUAAAUUAUACGCAAUUACACUCAGGGAAAUGCUCAGUAGAAAGCCUUAUGUUGUACUCAUCUGUUUGUUUCUUCUGCCUAUGUUCAUUCAAAACCCACCUCCAAUGGCACAGCAAUCACAACAACUGGCUGCCCCUCCACCCUGCAGGUAAGAAGUUUCACUGAGAUAGCCAAAGGAUGAGAUCCCACUUCUUGUGGUCCUAAAGGUAAUGUCCUGGUUGGUGGGGUGGGGGGACAGGCAGGUGUGCAGACGGGCAUUGACAUGACACGCUUCUGUGACUGCCAUACAAAGCAAAAGAGGGAAAAUGCCAUUAUUAAGUAAUUGGAGUAGGAAUUACUACAUUUAAUUUCUACAUUUUCAGAGGCAGCUCUUUUGCAAACUUGUCAAAUUUGUACCUAGCACGAGUAUCAUGUGGUGAAAACUGUCAAUGAGCACUGAGACUGUGGAAAAAGGGUGCAUAACCUGAGGGAGUCUACCAAUGUUUACUCAUACACAUAUGCACAGUGCUAGCAUUACUGUUCAGAUGCAGCUUUAAGUCCUUUUAAUAUGCGUGCAAAUGCCUAUGCCAUUGCACCCAUAAUGUCUGUAAAGUGACCACAUAUUUCAGAUUUGGCUUAAGCAGCUACAUCCCAUUUAAACUGGCCUUUUUGAUAAUGGUAUUUUUGCUUUUUCUUUGAGUGACCUAGCAUGCCUCUUGUUAUGCAUACAAGUAAGCAUGAAUUGUUGCAACUCCUUUUGUCAAAAGGUAUGGUUUUCCUCAAAGCUUGUCUGUACUCAAACUUUUCACAAGGGCCAGCCUGUCUUUGCAAUCUGAUGGGUUUGAUAUGGUUAUGAAUUGUGUGCAGUCUGUGUUUUUUGUGUUCUGUGUUUGUUUCAUUAUAUAUAGAAGUUGGAGUGCACCCUUUCCUUUGCCACACAGCUUGAUGCUAGGUAAUUAAAAAAAUUUAAGGGCAUGUGCUUCACCUUGUGAAUGCCUCAGUGUGUCUGUGUGUCUCUGUGUGUGUGUGAGACUUGCUGAGCUCUCAGAGCAGAAUCUGGAGCCCAUUGGGAGUAUGUGCAGGAUGGAUUUCAUUGCCGAAAAAAAGCGAAAAACAAAAUAAGAAAGUAAUUUUAUAGUGCUUCUGAUUGCUUGCCUCAAUUUAGACAAUACUUGUAAAAUUGUCUAUGACUGUUUGUCAAAGUCUAUGAGUCUUUAUUUUUGUAAAUAGGUACCUCUAAACACAAUUUUUUCACCUUACAGGGCUCUCCAUGAAAAUAAUUUCUUUAACAAAGGAAAGUAAGUUUGCUCACUCUGAAUCGUGCCAAACCGCAUAAUUUGGAAAAGAAUAUUGUGGCUCUACUUGGAAAGUACUAAUUGGGCUGUAGCCAUCACUGGGAAAGCUGUAUAGUCUUUUAUUAUUUUAACUGGCCAAAUGCCCUUUGUUACCACAUUAACAGUCUCCCUAUGGUGCAUGUAACUUUGAUGUUAUUUCCACUUUUAAGCUAAAUUUGACCAGAUGAAAGACACAAACCCUCCAAUUUUGAAAUAAAAAAAUAGCAUGUUUUGUUAAUCCUGUACUUCAGAAGGAAAGUCUGUGAAAAUGAUAACCUUUGUCUGCUGGCCAAAGUUUUUGUUCAGUAAACCCAUCCUGCCAGCUGUUCUCAUUGGCAAGAGGAAAGAUAAUAUUUUGGUAUCUCUAAUAUCUCCAUUUUGAGUCGAAGUUCUGCUUGUGCCAUCACUUAAAUCAUGCAUGUUAACAUCGGUCUGGCAAACAAUGCUGCACUUUUUAAACAGACCUCAGUUUGGAUGGUAUCACCGCAAUGUUGCAAUAAAGCUGCUUCAGAUUACCACAUAGAGCUGAAAUCA